UACGUAGGCAGCGAGCGUUGUUCGGAAUUACUGGGCGUAAAGAGUGUGUAGGCGGUGCUCUAAGUCUGUUGUGAAAUCUCCCGGCUUAACUGGGAGGGUGCGGCGGAGACUGGAGUGCUAGAGUGUGGGAGAGGUAAGCGGAAUUCCUGGUGUAGCGGUGAAAUGCGUAGAUAUCAGGAGGAACACCUGUGGUGUAGACAGCUUACUGGACCACGACUGACGCUGAGACACGAAAGCGUGGGUAGCAAACAGG
Molecule: ribosomal RNA, 253 nt
Filed under: uncultured bacterium
Lineage: Bacteria
Description: partial 16S ribosomal RNA
Rfam family: Bacterial small subunit ribosomal RNA
Source: RNAcentral